RNAcentral lists this long non-coding RNA (1513 nucleotides) under Homo sapiens (human). RNAcentral describes it as "HSALNT0394519". The record is from RNAcentral. Lineage: Eukaryota; Metazoa; Chordata; Mammalia; Primates; Hominidae.
CAAAAGUUGCAGCACAGCGUGUCACCAGAGAGGAAAAGAAUAUCCUUGCUGUGCCAAGAAAGAAAAGACCAUGGAUCUACUAGUUGCAGAUUUCAGCAGUAAUGCCAAGGGGGCAAGAAGUGACCAGCAGAACAAUUAGGCCAUGGCAACAGAAGCCAACUACAACCCAUGUUCCAAUCUAUGACCUCCCUCUCCUGCUGGUACAAGGAUAUGUAUUCCUUAGAGCAAAGGAUGCAAUGUCAAGCAAGUUGUGAUACCUCAACUAUCUACAAUUUAACACCAAGGAAAGAACACUGUUUGGAGAAAUGAGAAAGAUUAUCAUCAGUGUCUUUCAGAAGUCAUCAAAAGAAGAAAAGGAGAAAAGAGAGGAGAAAGCAGAAAGAUCUGGAGUCUGGGAAGUUCAAGAGCAUGGCACCAACAUCUGGCAAGGGCUUUCAUUCUGCAUCAUCUCAUGGAGGAAAAUAAAAAGGAGGCUGGAUGCUCCUGUGAAGUACGUCUUUUAUCUACUUGCUAUCUUUGCAAUUCCUUCAUGCUACAAUGAGAGAUAGAGUUUAAACCUGAAAACAUUCUUGGAAAAGGAAUCUUCAUUAAUUCAAAUAUACCACAAGAUUCACCACCAUCACUACUCUAAGUAUUUUUCUUCUUGAGAAAGAGAAGGAGAGGGAAAGCAAGGAAGAGGAAGAGAAAGAGAAAUGGAUAAAAACAUGGUCAAGUAGAAGAGUCUGUGAUUUCAGUGUCUUCCAGAGUCCUCACGAGUAUCAGAGAAGGCAUAAUCUGUACACGUGGCUUCAUUUAAAAUGAAAAUAUCAAGCAGUGUCAUUUUCACAAGUAUCCCCACACUGUCUGAGGCUGAAAAGAAGAGUGUAGCUAUGCACACUGCAGUGAGAAGAAAAUUUCAGCUCAAUUGGAGGAUGUAAAGAUUGAAAUACCACUGCUCCUAGUUCUGAUGCAAAAUUGAAAAGAGUGCACUGGGUCUUCAAAUGGCAUAUUGACAAGGAGAAAGAGGAAAGGAUGCCCCAGGACAGCCUGGGGGUCAAGGCUGGGCUCAGGCAUGCCUGGACAAGCCAUGCAAGUUGUCUCCGGACUUGAACCACGUAUCAGAGGAGCUAUUUGAGGAGCCACAUCAGCAUACCUGCUUCUGUGGGCCCCCAGGCUGUGGUGCUCAGCCCUUGCACUAUGAAACAUUUUUUUUUUCCAGAAGCCAAAGCUUUGAGCAUCUCCUCCCAUGUAGAGAGUGUAUAUGUUUACGUCCAUGUCUUUCGCCAUGUGAACGCAUGCAACCACCACCUCAAAUAUCAUAAAUCCUCUCUCUCCCCCUUUCUGUCUGCCUGUUUAUCUACAAUCUGUCUAUUUAAAUUCUUUUUAAACAAGAAGGGAAUAUCUUUAUGCCUGUUUGUAGGGAUAUUCUACAUCCAUCUGUUAUUUACAUCAUUCGUUUUCCUGAGGUGUCUCCAACAAAUCCUGGCUGGAUGCACUGUAUGUGUUAUUAAUAAAACAGCUGUAAAAAUAUUAA